Vicugna pacos (alpaca) is the source of this 620-nucleotide non-coding RNA. The record is from RefSeq and is a predicted model, not a curated record. Lineage: Eukaryota; Metazoa; Chordata; Mammalia; Artiodactyla; Camelidae.
CCAGCUUCUGGGUUGUUGGAGGAAAGCGAGCGACCGUGACGUCUUCCCAGGAGGGCGCGGGGAGCGGGGGACGCUCCGGAAGGGCAUGACUGAGGGAACCAAGGACGAGUGGGCGAGAGACAGCCUUCCCCUUGCUGAGCGGAAAAGGGAGGGCCGAGAAUUCCUCAACUCGGUCCUGUUCGGAGAGCUAGAGGCGUUACCUUCUGGGCUAACAAGACUUGGACCUCCGAGGCCAGUCAGAGAAUGAAGAAUGAGGCACAUGCGUGUCAUACAAAGUUGUUCUGAGGAAGGGUGUCCAAAUCAAAAAGGACCAAGUUCUAAUGACCAAGUAACCAGCUGAAGAAAUCCAAACUUGGAAUUGUGGGAAUGAGUUGUGAUGCUGAUGCUGCUGGUCUGGGAUCCAUACUUUGAGAGUCACUGGUGACCUGAUACUACAAAGUAAUAGAACCCUUCCUCUGGAGUGUAACCUCCUCAAGGGAGCCCUUGAUUCAAGCCUCCCUUCUGGUCCAUCCAGCUUGUGCCCUCACCCUGUCCCAGGGCUGCGCUGCAAAGCGGAGGGCAGAACAACAACCUCCCCACCUUCAUGAAGGCAGUCUCUCCACACCGUGCAGGACUGGUAA